This 376-nucleotide ribosomal RNA is filed under the name uncultured bacterium. RNAcentral's name for it is "bacterial SSU rRNA". It matches the Rfam family "Bacterial small subunit ribosomal RNA", at positions 29 to 402 of the family's 1533-position model. The record is from RNAcentral.
AAUGAACGCUGGCGGCGUGCUUAACACAUGCAAGUUGAGCGAGAACGUUUCUUCGGAAACUAGUACAGCGGCAAACGGGUGAGUAACGCGUGAGAACCUGCCCUUUAGUGAAGAAUACCCUCGAGAAAUCGAGAUUAAUACUGCAUGAGUCCCUGCGGGGAGGAAAGGUAGGCGUUUAUUGCUACCGCUAAAGGAAGGGGCGUUGCGUACUAUCAGCUAGUUGGUAGGGUAAGUUGCCUACCAACGGCUAUGACGGUUAGCCGGCCUGAGAGGGUGUACGGCCACAUUGGAACUGAGACACGGUCCAGACUCCUACGGGAGGCAGCAGUGAGGAAUAUUGCGCAAUGGGCGAAAGCCUGACGCAGCGACGCCGCGU